UACGUAGGGUGCGAGCGUUGUCCGGAAUUAUUGGGCGUAAAGAGCUCGUAGGCGGUGUGUCGCGUCGGCCGUGAAAACCUGGGGCUUAACUCUGGGCGUGCGGUCGAUACGGGCAUCACUGGAGUUCGGCAGGGGAGACUGGAAUUCCUGGUGUAGCGGUGAAAUGCGCAGAUAUCAGGAAGAACACCAAUGGCGAAGGCAGCUCUCUGGGACGGUACUGACGCUGAGACGCGAAAGCGUGGGGAGCGAACAGG
Molecule: ribosomal RNA, 254 nt
Filed under: uncultured bacterium
Lineage: Bacteria
Description: partial 16S ribosomal RNA
Rfam family: Bacterial small subunit ribosomal RNA
Source: RNAcentral